RNAcentral lists this ribosomal RNA (445 nucleotides) under uncultured bacterium. Its description in RNAcentral is "partial 16S ribosomal RNA". It matches the Rfam family "Bacterial small subunit ribosomal RNA", at positions 354 to 796 of the family's 1533-position model. The record is from RNAcentral.
GUGAGGAAUAUUGCGCAAUGGAGGCAACUCUGACGCAGCCAUGCCGCGUGCAGGAAGAAGGCGCUACGCGUUGUAAACUGCUUUUAACCGGGAAGAAACCCCAGGACGUGUCCUGGGUUGACGGUACCGGAGGAAUAAGCACCGGCUAACUUCGUGCCAGCAGCCGCGGUAAUACGAAGGGUGCAAGCGUUAUCCGGAUUCAUUGGGUUUAAAGGGUGCGUAGGCGGAGCGUUAAGUCAGUGGUGAAAUCCUGCAGCUUAACUGUAGACUUGCCAUUGAUACUGGCGCUCUUGAGUGCGCUUGAAGUGGGCGGAAUGUGUCGUGUAGCGGUGAAAUGCUUAGAUAUGGCACAGAACACCAAUUGCGAAGGCAGCUCACUAAGGCGAUACUGACGCUGAGGCACGAAAGCGUGGGGAUCGAACAGGAUUAGAUACCCUUGUAGUCC